GACGAACGCUGGCGGCGUGCUUAACACAUGCAAGUCGAACGGAAAGGCCCUGCUUGUGUGGGGUGCUCGAGUGGCGAACGGGUGAGUAACACGUGAGUAACCUGCCCUUGACUUUGGGAUAACUUCAGGAAACUGGGGCUAAUACCGGAUAGGAGCUCCUGCUGCAUGGUGGGGGUUGGAAAGUUUCGGCGGUUGGGGAUGGACUCGCGGCUUAUCAGCUUGUUGGUGGGGUAGUGGCUUACCCAGGCUUUGACGGGUAGCCGGCCUGGGAGGGUGACCGGCCACAUUGGGACUGAGAUACGGCCCAGACUCAUACGGGAGGCAGCAGUGGGGAAUAUUGCACAAUGGGCGGAAGCCUGAUGCAGCAACGCCGCGUGCGGGAUGACGGCCUUCGGGUUGUAAACCGCUUUCGCCUGUGACGAAGCGUGAGUGACGGUAAUGGGUAAAGAAGCACCGGCUAACUACGUG
Molecule: ribosomal RNA, 468 nt
Filed under: uncultured bacterium
Lineage: Bacteria
Description: partial 16S ribosomal RNA
Rfam family: Bacterial small subunit ribosomal RNA
Source: RNAcentral